This 72-nucleotide transfer RNA is filed under the name Camelus bactrianus (Bactrian camel). It matches the Rfam family "tRNA". From Rfam's summary of the family: Transfer RNA (tRNA) molecules are approximately 80 nucleotides in length. Their secondary structure includes four short double-helical elements and three loops (D, anti-codon, and T loops). The record is from Rfam by way of RNAcentral. RNAcentral also lists the same sequence under 1 other name. Lineage: Eukaryota; Metazoa; Chordata; Mammalia; Artiodactyla; Camelidae.
GGUGGAAUAGCUCAGUGGUAAAGUGUGUGCUUAGCAUGCAUGGGGUCCUGGGUUCAAACCUCAGUACCUCCA